This 650-nucleotide non-coding RNA is filed under the name Corchorus capsularis. RNAcentral describes it as "Bacterial large subunit ribosomal RNA". It matches the Rfam family "Bacterial large subunit ribosomal RNA", at positions 2283 to 2925 of the family's 2925-position model. Lineage: Eukaryota; Viridiplantae; Streptophyta; Magnoliopsida; Malvales; Malvaceae. The record is from Rfam by way of RNAcentral.
UCUCCUCCCAAAGUGUAACGGAGGAGUUCGAAGGUACGCUUAGUACGGUCGGACAUCGUACCUAAAGUGCAAUGGCAAAAGCGUGCUUAACUGCGAGACCGACAAGUCGAGCAGGUGCGAAAGCAGGACAUAGUGAUCCGGGUGGUUCUGUAUGGAAGGGCCAUCGCUCAACGGAUAAAAGGUACUCUGGGGAUAACAGGCUGAUACCGGCCCAAGAGUUCAUAUCGACGGCGGUGUUUGGCACCUCGAUGUCGGCUCAUCUCAUCCUGGGGCUGUAGCCGGUCCCAAGGGUAUGGCUGUUCGCCAUUUAAAGAGGUACGUGAGCUGGGUUUAAAACGUCGUGAGACAGUUUGGUCCCUAUCUGCCGUGGGCGUUGGAAUCUUGACGGGGGCUGCUCCUAGUACGAGAGGACCGGAGUGGACGUACCGCUGGUGUACCUGUUGUCUCGCCAGAGGCAUCGCAGGGUAGCUAUGUACGGAAGAGAUAACCGCUGAAAGCAUCUAAGCGGGAAACUUGCCUGAAGAUGAGGAUUCCCUGGAGACUUGAUCUCCCUGAAGGGUCGUUCGAGACCAGGACGUUGAUAGGCUGGGUGUGGAAGCGCAGUAAUGCGUUCAGCUAACCAGUACUAAUUGCCCGUGCGGCUUGAUCCU